This 210-nucleotide long non-coding RNA is filed under the name Elaeis guineensis (African oil palm). RNAcentral's name for it is "long non-coding RNA (EGUI_LNC029170)". Lineage: Eukaryota; Viridiplantae; Streptophyta; Magnoliopsida; Arecales; Arecaceae. The record is from RNAcentral.
GGGACUUGAGAAACAUCUGAUACAUUGGAAGUUGAAUUACCAUGAGCUGACAAAAUAUAAUAUAUCUAGCUAAAUCAAAACAAACAACAAAAAAAUAUACGUAUAUAUAAACUGAUAUGCCAAUAUCAAAUUUAGGGAUGGCAAUGAGUAAGAUUUGGAUCAGAUAUUAUACUAUCCAUUCUCAAAUCCGAACUUAAUAUCUUAUACUCA